RNAcentral lists this ribosomal RNA (253 nucleotides) under uncultured bacterium. Its description in RNAcentral is "partial 16S ribosomal RNA". It matches the Rfam family "Bacterial small subunit ribosomal RNA", at positions 524 to 776 of the family's 1533-position model. The record is from RNAcentral.
GACAGAGGAUGCAAGCGUUAUCCGGAAUGAUUGGGCGUAAAGCGUCUGUAGGUGGUUUAUUAAGUCUACUGUUAAAGAUCAGGGCUUAACCCUGAGCAGGCAAUAGAAACUAAUAAGCUAGAGUACGGUAGGGGCAGAGGGAAUUCCCGGUGUAGCGGUGAAAUGCGUAGAUAUCCGGAGGAACACCAGUGGCGAAGGCGACUUUCUGGCCUGUUCUUGACGCUGAGGCGCGAAAGCUAGGGGAGCAAACGGG